GGACCCGCACAAGCAGUGGAGCAUGUGGUUUAAUUCGAAGAUACGCGCAGAACCUUACCAACGCUUGACAUGUUCGUCGCGAGACUAAGAGAUUAGUUUCUUCAGUUCGGCUGGACGAAACACAGGUGCUGCAUGGCUGUCGUCAGCUCGUGUCGUGAGAUGUUGGGUUAAGUCCCGCAACGAGCGCAACCCCCUACUUUUAGUUGCCACCAUUUAGUUGGGCACUUUAAAAGAACUGCCAGUGAUAAGCUGGAGGAAGGUGGGGAUGACGUCAAGUCCUCAUGGCCCUUAUGUGUUGGGCUACACACGUGCUACAAUGGCACUUACAAUGGGAUGCAAAGAGGUGACUCUUAGCUAAUCCCAAAAAUGUGUCUCAGUUCGGAUUGUACUCUGUAACUCGAGUGCAUGAAGCUGGAAUUGCUAGUAAUCGC
This 431-nucleotide ribosomal RNA is filed under the name uncultured bacterium. RNAcentral's name for it is "bacterial SSU rRNA". It matches the Rfam family "Bacterial small subunit ribosomal RNA", at positions 917 to 1345 of the family's 1533-position model. The record is from RNAcentral.